GACGAUUUUUAGAAAAAGCAAAAAAAUAAAGCCAGAGUGCGUGAAGAGCGAGCACGAGGAGGCAGCCCGGUCCGGAGCAGAUCAAAGGAGAUGGUGGAGAUGCCGAGUGUGGUUUGGUUAAUACGAGCGCAGGAUUGCCUCAGAAGGAAAGAAAUGCUCUUGAAUUUUUUAAUGUCUCGGUCCCGUUUUAUACCAGCCCUGUGGAGGACUCCAUUUUUCUGAACGUGCCGUGACUUUUGAGGACCACGCAUGGUUAGCCAGCCCCAGGGCUCCCGAGUCCCUGAAUCAGCACGUCCGCCUGCAGACACCGAGCCGAGGGGGAGCGCUUCCCCCAGCCGUGACACGGCCACGGCGGGGAGAAGUGCCCUUCUGCUCUGCCCUGGCUUUCCAUCUGCAAAGCGUGUAGCUGCAAGUGCCGCGUGUUUACAAAUGCAGGCAUUGCAAGAUCCCUUGAACUGUGUCCUAGUACAAAAGAGGCUUUGAAACAAGAAACACGUUGUCAUGGCAUGUUCCAGGCCAGCAGCACCA
This is a long non-coding RNA of Aquila chrysaetos chrysaetos, 528 nucleotides long. RefSeq lists it as uncharacterized. The transcript is spliced from 2 exons. The record is from RefSeq and is a predicted model, not a curated record. NCBI's taxonomy places the organism in Eukaryota, Metazoa, Chordata, Aves, Accipitriformes, Accipitridae.